GAUGAACGCUGGCGGCGUGCCUAAUACAUGCAAGUCGAGCGAACAGACGAGGAGCUUGCUCCUCUGACGUUAGCGGCGGACGGGGGAGUAACACGGGGAUAACCUACCUAUAAGACUGGGAUAACUUCGGGAAACCGGAGCUAAUACCGGAUAACAUGUUGAACCGCAUGGUUCAACAGUGAAAGACGGUCUUGCUGUCACUUAUAGAUGGAUCCGCGCCGCAUUAGCUAGUUGGUAAGGUAACGGCUUACCAAGGCAACGAUGCGUAGCCGACCUGAGAGGGUGAUCGGCCACACUGGAACUGAGACACGGUCCAGACUCCUACGGGAGGCAGCAGUAGGGAAUCUUCCGCAAUGGGCGAAAGCCUGACGGAGCAACGCCGCGUGAGUGAAGAAGGUCUUCGGAUCGUAAAACUCUGUUAUUAGGGAAGAACAAAUGUGUAAGUAACUAUGCACGUCUUGACGGUACCUAAUCAGAAAGCCACGGCUAACUACGUG
RNAcentral lists this ribosomal RNA (497 nucleotides) under uncultured bacterium. RNAcentral describes it as "partial 16S ribosomal RNA". It matches the Rfam family "Bacterial small subunit ribosomal RNA", at positions 28 to 507 of the family's 1533-position model. The record is from RNAcentral.